UACGGGGGGAGCAAGCGUUGUUCGGAUUUACUGGGCGUAAAGGGCGCGUAGGCGGCCACCGCAAGUCAAUUGUGAAAUCUCCGGGCUUAACUCGGAAAGGUCAACUGAUACUGCGGGGCUAGGGUGCGGAAGGGGCAACUGGAAUUCUCGGUGUAGCGGUGAAAUGCGUAGAUAUCGAGAGGAACACCUGCGGCGAAGGCGGGUUGCUGGGCCGACACUGACGCUGAGGCGCGAAAGCCAGGGGAGCGAACAGG
This 254-nucleotide ribosomal RNA is filed under the name uncultured bacterium. Its description in RNAcentral is "partial 16S ribosomal RNA". It matches the Rfam family "Bacterial small subunit ribosomal RNA", at positions 524 to 776 of the family's 1533-position model. The record is from RNAcentral.